CAGAUCAGCAUGCUGCGGUGAAUACGUUCCCGGGCCUUGUACACACCGCCCGUCACACCAUGGGAGUCGGUAACACCCGAAGCCUGUAGUCUAACCGCAAGGAGGACGCAGUCGAAGGUGGGAUUGAUGGCUGGGGUGAAGUCGUAACAAGGUACC
This 156-nucleotide ribosomal RNA is filed under the name uncultured bacterium. Its description in RNAcentral is "partial 16S ribosomal RNA". It matches the Rfam family "Bacterial small subunit ribosomal RNA", at positions 1345 to 1500 of the family's 1533-position model. The record is from RNAcentral.